GAAAGUUCUAUGGGAACUAUAUAGAAAUCCUAAAUCUGAAAUCAGGAAGUGUCUCACAGGAGAUGCCUUCCUGGCAAUGGUCCAAGGAGGGGGACACACAGGGAAAGGUAGAGUUUGCUAGUUAAGUCAUUAUCACAGUCUUUUCCACAACCUCUAAUUCCAGUUUUACAUAACAGAAGGACGAUCCAGAAGGUUGUGAUGAAAUAGAAAGUGUGAAGAGAAAUGAAGAACAGGUUCUGAGAAGAAUGAAGUGAGGAAGAGCUAAAGCUGCUAAACAGAUAGGCACAGAGAGGAGGGAAGCGAGCUACUAGUGCAGCCCCUCAACAACUGCAGAAAGGCACCUUGGGAGAUGGGAGCAUCAGAGAAUAGGGGAGCAGCUGGGAAUAAGCAGAUAAAGCAGAGUAUCAGCCAGAAGUAAAACAAAGCUAAAGAGAGGCGACAACAGAGCCAGAGAUGAGAUGUGAAUGGGUUAGAGAGAGAGAGAACAAUGCUGAGGGGCUGGAAAGGAUGACAUUUGGAAUGAGCUUAAAACUAGAUGGAUACUUUAAGAGAGGGAGGGUGGUUGAGUGAAUGGAGCAACUGAAGAGGAUCCAUCAAGGGAAAAGCCAAUAAGAUAGGCAUUGUUGUCAGGCAUGGUGGAGCAUGCCUGUAUUCCCAGUGGCUUGGAG
RNAcentral lists this long non-coding RNA (668 nucleotides) under Marmota monax (woodchuck). Lineage: Eukaryota; Metazoa; Chordata; Mammalia; Rodentia; Sciuridae. The record is from RNAcentral.